AUGCAGGAGAGAAGCAGCUUUCUGUCAAGUUUUGCUUUUCUCUAUGUGCAGAUCAAAUCAGCAGAAAGGGGGUCUCUUAGUCUGCUGCCUCUGACUGUGCUUUUCGGUUCUUGCUCAGGUAUACAAAUGCUCUCAGUCCAGCCAGACACCAAGCCGAAAGGUUGUGCUGGCUGCAACCGUAAGAUUAAAGACCGGUAUCUUCUAAAGGCCCUGGACAAAUACUGGCAUGAAGACUGCCUGAAAUGUGCCUGCUGUGACUGUCGUUUGGGGGAGGUGGGCUCUACUUUGUACACCAAAGCCAACCUUAUCCUUUGUCGCAGAGACUAUCUGAGGUUAUUUGGAGUUACAGGAAACUGUGCUGCCUGCAGUAAGCUCAUACCUGCUUUUGAGAUGGUGAUGAGAGCUAAGGACAAUGUUUAUCACCUGGACUGUUUUGCAUGUCAACUUUGUAAUCAGAGGUGGGAAGAAACACACGAGAUGUACAUUUCUAGGGAAGUAACAAAAACUUAGUGAGAUAAUAGUCUAACACGCCAAAGUUAGAUAGAGCUCUAAAUAAGCUUUGCUAACUCACGUUGUCCUACAGUGUAUUAUUUUGUAACACUGUAGUCGUUUAAAAAUCAAACAUCCCUAAAGAACCAUAAAAUGUACAGCUGCUAAUAAGUAUAGCACACUACAAUUACACUCUUAAAAAAAGCCAAAUUGACCUUUUUCAUUAUGUUGCAUGGGAAAUUAAAAUACCAGGCAAGUAAUAACCGCUGCUUAAAGUAUAUAAUAAUGCAAAGUAAUUAUAGGUUCUAAUGCUAUUUAAAGUCCUAUAUCAAUUUUGUCUUGCCACAGAACUAAAAAGCCGUACUCUGAGUAAGGCAGGCAGAGCUUCCCAGUAGAGCCCACUGAAGUAAGACACACACACACUCCAAGAUUUCGUUUCUUAAACCCUUCACAUCCCUGUUUCUGCAAACCACUCUUCUAGUAUCACUAUUAAAGUGCCUAAUAUAUUUCUGUUGUUCGCUUCAUUUAUUACAUGCCAUAAUGGGGCUGCAUAUCUUUAGUGUUGGUUAUGCACAAUUAGCACUUAGUUAUUGUCUUGUCACUUCAGCCCAUACAAGACAAACUUCUUUAAUGUAAGAAGUCAGCUAAUCUUCAUCAGUCAAGCAAAGCAGACAAUGUUUGUUACCCUGAGUACAAAAGAUUUUCCUCAUAGUUAGUAUUCUUGGAUGUGAGGAAAUGAACUUCUUUUCUCUUCCCCAAAAAAACUAAGCUGUUGAGAUCAUUUUUAAUAUUCCUCUUUUGCCGUAACAAGUGUGAACUAAUGUACAGUUCCUCUUUGCAGCUAAUAUACAUCAUAUUUUGCCCUAGGGCCACUGAUUCCCACCGGAAAACUGCUGUUAGGUGCUUCUAAAGAGGAGCAUUCCAGGGAUAUCUAAUAAUUAUUAGCCUUGUCAUUCCUCAGCCUUCAGUCUAGGCUCUUAUUUGAUUUUUGCCUUGCAUAUAGUUUGGACAAAUGGUUGCUGAGAUAGUCUUAUGAGAGUCUUAGAUUGGGAACACAGGAAUUCAUUUACCUGAAAUACGAUUUAGUUCAUCUAGUCAGAAAAGUGAGUAGUACCAGAAGUUUCAGAGAGAUUCAGGAAUUGUCAAAAGUGGCCCUAGUCCUGAUUAUAUUGCAAUAGCUCUCAAGGAACCUAAUAAAACAGGCUGCCUGUAGGGUAUGUUUCUUCCUCACAAUUUGGGGCUAGCAGCAUUCUGAAGAAUUAGUUUUGUGUUUUUUCAUAAGAAAUCCUAUUUCGUGGAUGCUCCAGCUUAGUUCUUCUGUGGUUCUUAUGGCAAAGCAUUCCACUGACUGUCCAUUCGCUCAUUAAUAAAUGGUUUUAAAUCUUUUGGUUUUCAUUACUUAUAUAAUUGCAAAAAAUAGAAAUACUGGACAGCUGACCCCAUGCACCUGAUUAUUUUUUAUAUUUCUACUGUGAAAUCUCUUUCCUUUUAAACUGAAUAAUCUUGUCAGUCACCACACCAUUAACAAUUUCAUUGCCCUUGUCAGGAUCCUCUGUUCUUCCUCUACUUGAGAUAGGGUAAUCAAAACCAAACAGCAGAUUCCAGGUGAGGAUGAGUUUGUAAGAUAACCGUUUAAUUUUGUUUCUUUAUUCCAUGCUUCCCUUUGUAUGCAAAAUAAUGUUCUUGAAUUGACUUUGAAGUCUGCUCUUCACUUUCACUCCAGUCACUAUCCCUAAUGUGGCAUGCUCAAAGAUAAAUAUUUUUAUUUACAAACACAUCAGCAAUAUCCACAAAUCACCAAUAGAGCUAGCAGAACUCACCAGUUAUUGCAAGACAUGUAUAUUUGACCCUGUUCCCUACCUUCACCUUCUCUUCCUCAAUUAAAUUUUAAAUUCUUUGUGACAUUCUUUCCACUGAGAGAACUUCAAUGUAUCGGGGGUGUUACUGUAAAGCAUACAAUUGUUAUUGUCUACCAUUUCAUUUUUCCUAACAGAAGAUAUGCAACGUUCAUGAGGAGACUAAAUUGUUUCUUCAGUUUGCAUUACUUUGCAUUGGCCAACAGUGAAUUUCUUCUGACAUGAUGCGCCUGGUUGUUUGGAAUUCCUCCUGAUGCCUUCUGCCUUCCAAACUUGCUAAUAAUUAUAUUAACUCACAUCACAUUGAUCCUUGGGGCAACCAGCUCUUUAUGCUUACUAUCAUAUGACCCUCAUAUUUUUGCCCUUUAAACAGUUGGUCCUGGCCUGGCGAGAGAGGAGCCUGCCUGUUGCCAGUGCUUUUCAUGAAAAAUUCAAUGAUUUUUCUGCUUUUAUGUACAGCUUCAGUUUGCUUUAUUGUUUUUGAGUACGUACUACUCAACAUCUGCAUCAGGGCUCAGUGUGGAUGGUAGUUAGACCACUUUGAUUUUAGGGGACUUUUGUUCAGGCUAUAAACUUCUCCCCUGAACUAACAUUUAAGGUAUCUCCCCCUUUUUAUUGGCCUCCAGAAGGCUAGAUUUUCAAAGUUAGAAAACCUGGUUGCCUCAUAUGUCUCUCAUAAUGUAUGCUAGAAACAUAGGACUGGAAAGGAUCUCUUGAGCCACUCAGUGUAGUCCCCUGGUGUCAAAUAAGCACUGUGUCGUAUUUUCCCUUUCAUAAAGCUAUUACAUCUCUAGAAUCUAAUUGCUCCAUCCAGCCAUUUUUUUGCCAUAUACUUUCCUUUUGUUCUUGCUACUGGUGUGUAAAGCCAUAGAGAUUUUGUGAAUAUUAAGCUCUACUCCUAGUUUAAAGGUUUUAGCUUCCCCUUAUCUUUCAUGUCUCUGUACAGUUUCCUCCUAAUUUGAAGAGUUUUUCCAUCUCCUCAAUACCCACAGAGCUUAGUGACAGUCAUCUUAGUGGUCUGAAUGCUCCCCUUUCCAUUCUGUAUUAAACUUCUCAGAAGCACUUCACCUCACUUUGGCAGUACCCUCAAUGUAGGUUGAUUUCUGUAGAAAAUUUAAAGGAAAAAUGGAAACCACUGGAAAAUAAACUUGUAAACAGACAUUGCCUUUCACACUUUGUCAGGUUGCAUGUGUGUGACUAGCAAAAUGGAGUGGAAAAUCUUGCAAGUAGGCUCAGCUGUAUCUUUGCUUGACACUUUUGACUACGGUGAUGAUCUCAGUCUGCCUUCGGCUUUCCCACUUUCCUGAGUUUCCGUGUCCUUCCUUUCACUCUCUGUCGGCUAUUUUAGCAGCUUGUUCCAUACUUCUGCAAUAAUUUCUGUCUAUAUCCUGAAGUCAGCCUGGGGUGUGGUUUAAAACCCCACAUCUGCUGUCACUGAAGGGUGGUUAAAUCAAUUCUUCUAUCCUUCCAUUUCUGUCUUGGAAACAGCCUUUAUUUUACUGGGCACUAGAUUGAGAAUGGUUACACGGCCAUUCAAAUCACUGUCCUCAUGUAGCUGUAAACACUUACAUCUUGUAUAAACUGCAGAAUGCCCACACAAUGCUGGCUUUGUUCGCUAUCAAGCAGGGGAUUUUGUGGAAUGUAACGUUAGGGGCAUACUUGUUUCAAACACUAGCAUUAGAUUUUUGUGUGUAUGCUCCUUUUAUAAAUUUUUAAGACCUUUAUUUUCAUUGAACAUCUCUAAAUUUAGAAUAAAAAUAAAUACAUUUUCCAUACCAGCUUUCAUAAAAAUAAUAAUGGAAAAGCACACCAAGUUGAGAUUUUUCAUCUUAAGCUGAACUGGCUUACCAUUUACUUAGGAUUCUGUGCAUUUAAUUCAUCUUAGUGAUGAAAAUGUAGAAACCUAGUCACAGCUUAGACUAUCCAGCCUUUGAUAAUAAAUGGACCUUUUGACACAACCCUAAAAUUAGUAAAAUACAGGUGUGGACAGAUGAGCUGUGAAGUAAAAGAGUGGCUUUGUUCUCUUGGUAAUGCAUGUAGAUUAGCAUUAAUUUGAGUUAUACUGGAAACUCAACUGAAAAAAAAGGAAGGGAGAAAAGCAGAGGACAAAUUACAUCACUGAGUGCAAAAAAAACCCAGAGAGGACAGGUGGGGAGGGGUAAGUCUGUGCUUUCUUUAUACUAGAGGAAAUCAAUUAAAUGCAUCCAUAUUUUGUUUAUGCCUUUCUGCAACAACAAAGCUCUGACAUUACCAAAGGAGGCACUUCACACACAGCAAUCUUUGUUCACAACAAUAUUUCUCUCACUUUCUUAAGAAGUCUUCAGUACUUUGACAUGCAUCCUGUAUGUCAGAAAUGACAGACAGCAGAAAGAUCUCCUUAAAUCUCUGCUCUGAACAAAGAAGUAGCUAUUUCUCAAAAUGGAAAUUUUAUACUACUUGUGAUUAGUCUAGGCACACCUUCCCCUUCCAAACAAGAUGAUUACAGAGGUCAUUUUGUAAUAUAAAUGGCCUUCCUUUUGCCAUUUUAAAAUAUGACCGGAGUUCUGGGAUAUAGGUUAAUUAUAAUGGUCAUUCUACUAAUGUCACAGUCAUGUCAAAAGUAGUACUAUCAAUUUAUGGUGGUAAGUCCAAUCUGGCAUGUUAAUGCAGCCUAUUGUAUAUUUUUUCCUCUUCAUCUUGCAUGCCUAUUAAAUAAAUUAAACUGGGUGAGGGUUUUAGGGAAGAAAAGGCUGAAGACUACUAUCUGUCUGCUAGAAAAGUAAUAGUCUUGCCUCAUUAUAUACUCCUAAGUCAAUUGCCAUUUUAAUAUGGGAACGCUUUGCUUUUUCACCAAAGAUCAAUAUUCAUCUCAAUAUCCUCCUUGACUCUAUUUGAUAUACGUGCCCAAUUGUGCCCUGAUUUACACCCAAUGUCAAUUCCAUUAAAAAACACUCUUGCAGGGGGUGGAAGGGUAGGCUUGAAUUUCCCCUUCUGCUUUAAACCUGAUCUAGCCAAUCCUUAAGUGUGCAAAACCAGAUCAAAGAAGUUGGAAAAUUUACCAUUUUGACUUUAGAAGAGGCUAAGUCUGCUUUUGAGAGUCAGAUAAGGUCAAAAGCAUAGCACCGGCUGGACAGAAUUUGUCGCAUUUCAUCCGUCUAGCUGCCCUCUCUCGUUGUGCUUGGGAGCGAGUGUGCUCCGUUUAAAGUCUUUUGUCACCUGCUGCUUACCUCUUUGUCACCUAAUGAAUGCAUAAUUCACACCUUUAAUAGUCAGGGGCACAUGCAAGCCUCACCUUCUUCAAUCUUUGCCAAUGUGUUUCAGUCACUGAACUUACACAAUAUGAAAACAGUCACAGAAUCUGGACCAUAAGUAUCACACAGGUAACAGGUUUCCUCCAAGACACGGAUGAUCCCCCCACCCCCGCAGCGUGCAGACGUAGCUGCAGAUGAGCACGGAGGGUGUCUUGCCAUGCAGAGAGACGGCCACCCGACAGGUUAUCGCACAGCCAAGCAUGUCUAGACAGACCACCGGCAGCCUCUCCACCAGACGGCUGUACGGUUGGAAGAUUUUGCGUUGGAGACAAAUUUUUCCUGAAGAACAACAUGAUUCUGUGCCAGACAGACUAUGAGGAAGGUUUAAUGAAAGAAGGUUAUGCACCCCAGGUUCGCUGAUCUGAUGCCACAUCAUUAAGAAUAGAAAGCACUAUCUUCUUUUAUCUUUUUUGCUCAACAUGUAUAUAAGAAAUGACACAGGAACCUACUGAAUAGCGUAGAUAUAGGGAGACAGGAUGGUUGCGUGAAAUAAAAGGCGGACUGCAUCUGUAUGUAGUGAAAAUUGCUCCAGUUCAGAGUUGAAUGUUAAUUAAAAAGGUACUGUACAUACAGCUGGAUUCUUUUUGCUUGCUAUUGGGGUUUUUGGUUUGUUUGUUUGUUUUUUGUUUCUUUUUGUGUCAUUUGGCAUGAGAUGUUUAUUUUGGACUACUGUAUAUAAUGUAUUGUAAUAUCUGAAGCACAAAUGUAAUACAGUUUUAUUGUGUUA
Molecule: RNA transcript, 6362 nt
Organism: Dromaius novaehollandiae (emu)
Lineage: Eukaryota; Metazoa; Chordata; Aves; Casuariiformes; Dromaiidae
Gene: LMO3
Gene name: LIM domain only 3
Exons: 5
Source: RefSeq, a predicted model, not a curated record